GGGUGGCGGCCACCGCCCUUCGCCUCAGGUGAGGGAAAGGCUGGAGCGCCCGGAGGCUCCUCAGGCAGCGGCCGUUACCGCCCGGCGCGAACGGAGCACGCAUGCACGCUGCUCCCCCCCUCCCUUUACCCCUGCGGGCCGCCAUUCGCUGAGCGCCCAGCCCGCCUCCUCUCUCACUGCCGGUCCUGCGCAUGUGUUGUAGGAGGGGGAGCGUUACCUAUACAAAUAACACAUUUUAAGAAGUUAAACUCCAAGGAACCAUUAGGAGGAAAUACUCCCCAUUCUGAAAACCACCCAAAACAGACUCUAAACUCUCUAGAAGAUAACAUUACUUUGGAAUUGAAGAAUCAUACAAUAGCCCAGAGAUUAACAUUCAUCAUGCUGAGAUUUGGGCAGCACAUCAUCAAGCCCUCCGUGGUCUUCCUGAAGACUGAGCUCUCCUUUGCUCUUGUGAACCGCAAGCCGGUGGUCCCAGGCCGUAUCCUUUUGAGCAGUGCCUUGGCCAUGGGUGCUCGUGCUCUGUGGAGAAGCUGAGGAAGGUUGGCGCGUGCUCCAAAGGCCAGGUAGGAUCUGCGCGGAUUUAUUCUGAAACCAGGCGGUGGAACAUAAUACACUUGAUUGGUGUUGCAGAACUGCCGAAAAGGGUUGCUUAGCAACUGUGACCUUACAGGUGAAUUUCUAUUGACCUUUUCACCACAGAAGAUGUAUAAACAACCAGGUGCUACUAAAAGCAUUUUAAAGUGUAUCUGAGAUGAUACUGUUUAAAUUUCAUAUUAUGCUAAAUAACACAUCCUGCUUCCCUUUUAAUAACGUCACUUAUUUUUAGAUGUGGUAACUUCUUUAUGGAGGAUUUUCAACUUCUUGUAGCUAAAUGUACACGAUUUGUCAAAUGGCAGCAGAAUUCUCUAUGAAGACUAUUAUUUUUUGGGGGGGGAACAGAUUGCUUUGAUUAAUUUAGGUAGGAAUGGAUUAAAUAAACCAUCUGUAUAGCAAACA
RNAcentral lists this long non-coding RNA (996 nucleotides) under Anser brachyrhynchus (Pink-footed goose). Its description in RNAcentral is "lncRNA (ENSABRG00000001853.1)". The record is from RNAcentral. Lineage: Eukaryota; Metazoa; Chordata; Aves; Anseriformes; Anatidae.